GUGAUAACUUUGGCAGCACAUAUGCUAAAACUGGAACAACACUGAGAAGAUUAGCAGCCUGUGCAAAAUUUGCACAAGAGUAUUCUUACAGUACCACCAUACACAU
This 106-nucleotide small nuclear RNA is filed under the name Neogale vison (American mink). The record is from RNAcentral. Lineage: Eukaryota; Metazoa; Chordata; Mammalia; Carnivora; Mustelidae.